This 74-nucleotide transfer RNA is filed under the name Parasedimentitalea psychrophila. RNAcentral describes it as "Parasedimentitalea sp. QS115 tRNA-Cys". The record is from RNAcentral. Lineage: Bacteria; Pseudomonadati; Pseudomonadota; Alphaproteobacteria; Rhodobacterales; Paracoccaceae.
AGCUUUGUUUUUAUUGAAGAAGGCAUUGGAUUGCAACUCCGUGUACACGAGUUCGAUUCUCGUACUCGCCUCCA